GCCGCGUUAGCGUAGUGGUAGCGCGUCUCACUUGUACGGCCGUUCUGGUUGCUGAGCCACUACGCUAUGAGAAGGUCACUCGUUCAAUCCGGGUACGUGGCA
Molecule: non-coding RNA, 102 nt
Organism: Tephrocybe rancida
Lineage: Eukaryota; Fungi; Basidiomycota; Agaricomycetes; Agaricales; Lyophyllaceae
Source: the annotation of a GenBank genome assembly